CUAGUACCACCUUGAUGACCAAGCCUUUUUAACACAGGCUUUUGGGGGCCUGUGUGCAUAUCCACACCAUACACUACAUAAGGAAGUGUAGUCACAGGCUUUGGAGGUUAGGAUGUAGACAGCUGCAGGGAGCCAUCGGGCUCUCACCCUGUCAUAGGAAGUAAAGCACAUGAGGUUAGCAUCACUUUGGAAGACAGGAACUACACUUACCUUUUGCCUUAGGAGAAAGUAGAAGGAAUGGAAAUAAUAAUAAUCUAGAGAGCUGAGAUUGAAAAGAAAGGUUGUGCAUCAAAAGAGAUGCUCUGUUUGCUAAUGGACCUUCAUCCUUCUAAGUUUUUUCUAAAUAGAACAUAGAUUUCAGAGGGGCAGAAGCCAUGUUUUAUAUUUUCCUUGUUAAUGCUUUCCAUGGGCAUGUGGUUCAAUUAAGGACACAUAGUAAAGGCUGAAUGAUGUGACUCAGUCAUCAGGAGGAAGCUAGGAAGGAUUCUGCUGCUGGUAGAUGGGUGUAGCUUCUGCUUAGGAAUGAGACAGGGAGUAGGUGUUCAAUGGGAAUU
Long non-coding RNA from Perognathus longimembris pacificus (Pacific pocket mouse), 554 nucleotides. RefSeq lists it as uncharacterized. The record is from RefSeq and is a predicted model, not a curated record. Lineage: Eukaryota; Metazoa; Chordata; Mammalia; Rodentia; Heteromyidae. The transcript is spliced from 3 exons.